RNAcentral lists this ribosomal RNA (437 nucleotides) under uncultured bacterium. RNAcentral's name for it is "bacterial SSU rRNA". It matches the Rfam family "Bacterial small subunit ribosomal RNA", at positions 28 to 507 of the family's 1533-position model. The record is from RNAcentral.
GGUGAACGCUGGCGGCGUGCCUAACACAUGCAAGUCGAUCGGAGCAGCAAUGCUUAGAGGCGAACGGGUGAGGAAAACGUAGUAACCAACCCUUUAGACUGGGAUAGCCACUGGAAACGGUGGGUAAUACCGGAUAAGCUCGAGAGAGGAAAGGCAGAGAAGCGCUAAAGGACGGAACUGCGCCCCAUCAGAUAGUUGGUGAGGUAAAGGCUUACCAAGUCAAAGACGGGAAACCGACGUGAGAGCGUGUACGGUCACAAGGGCACUGAGAGACGGGCCCUACUCCUACGGGAGGCAGCAGUGGGGAAUAUUGGACAAUGGGCGCAAGCCUGAUCCAGCCAUGCCGCGUGAGUGAUGAAGGCCCUAGGGUUGUAAAGCUCUUUUGUGCGGGAAGAUAAUGACGGUACCGCAAGAAUAAAGCCCCGGUAAACUUCGUG